UCCACUUCCCACUCCAAAGCGCAGUCUCUCCUACUAUGCGGAUUGAAAAGAACCUAAGAAAGGAAAAAAAAAAAAAAAUAUUCAGGAAACAUGAGUUUGGACGAAACCCUAGCGGUCACCACCGCCCAAGAAGACGAAGAGUUCUUGUUCGCUUUCAAACAAGACAUGAUCUCGUGCGUUCCCCUGGUCUUGAAGUCCACGAUCGAGCUCGGCAUCCUCAAGCUCUUGUCCGAGAGCUCUGCUCAGCUCUCGCCCAUCCACAUUGUGUCCCGCCUCUCCAUCAAGAAUCCCGAUGCUGCAAUCACCAUCAACCGCAUCCUGCGUUUGGUCGCCAGCUUCUCUUUCCUCUCGUGCACCCUCAUGCAGGACAAAGCCAGGCGGCCUAAGAGGACGUACCGCCUGGGCCCCUUGAGCAAGUACUAUGUGAGUGAGCAAGGGGCUAGCAUGGCGCCAUGGUUGCUUUUACUCUUUGACGAGGUUUCCUUGAGAACGUGGAACGCAGAUAAAUGAAUUCGAACUGUCACAUUUUGUGGGACUCACCAUGUUCGAUAGUUUUACUUAAAAGAUGAAAUGAUUUAGGGAAAAGACAACCCUUUCAAGCUGGCGAACGGCGCGAUCCUCUUCGACUACACUGGGAUAGACCCAAGGUACAACAGCCACUUCAACAAUGCCAUGAAGUGUAUGUCUACCAUUUUCAUGGGCAAAUUCAUGGUCACUUAUUGCGAAUUCGAGAAUGCCAAAAUGGUUGUCAACAUCGGCGGUGGUGACGGUAAAUGCCUUAAGUUUUGGAAAUUUCCUAUAAUAUGGGCUUACAUUAAUUAAUUGAUUUUCUAUUUUAAAUAAUCGGGUUAAUGGAUAUUCCAAUAUUUUUUAUACCUUAAAGUGAUUUGAUUGAAUUGGGUAUUGGCAUCUAUUGUUAACGGGCCUAGUUGAGCAGCAAAGUGUAGGCAAUUGUAUUUGAUUGAAGCCCGUAAUGGGAAGGGCCCGAUUGACACACUGUUGAUUAUGGUUUGCUAGGUCCCCUCUCUAGCCUAUAAAAAGGUAGGUUAUACCUAUCAGUUGCUUUAAUCCCAUUGAAAGCUGCUAUACCGAAAUAGGUCAUAGAGAGGAAGAUCUGGUAUUCCAAUAGAUCAUUGAUUAUCAGAGUGAUCUAGUUUUCUUCAAGUAAAGCAAUGGCUCAAACAGGUACGCUUUAAUUCUGCUGUAUUUAUUGAUUUCGGUGUUUUACAAUCAUGUAUGGAUCCGUUUGUUCUUAAUUGAUCAAUUUUUUAUGAGAAUAAUAUUCUACAUGCGGUAUCAGAGCUAGUCAUAUAUGAUUGUAGAACCCAAAUUUUAUAUUUUUAUGGACAAAUUCGAAAUUUUCCUCUUUGAGCCAAAUAUGGGCAUUGUCUUUCGUGUGGAUUUUUUUGCUUGAUUGAUCCUAAAACCAUAAGGCUUUUUUUCUACAUGUCGAGAUCUUUCCAAUCAUAUAUAAUUUGUAUAAUUUCAUUGAGAACUGAGAGAGAAUUUUAAAUUUGAAAUUCUAGGCUUUAUACCUAAAAAGUUCUAGAAUUUUCAAAUUACUUGUUCGUCGUAAAUUGUUGCAUGGGUAUUUUUAUGUAUGUGUUUUAGCAUCCUUUUGUUGCAUUAAAGUAAGCCCCCAUCUUCCUCUCCGUUCUCUAGAUUUUGAAAUCUUAAUUUGGAAAACCAUUGCUUCAUGUUCGUUCCUUCAGUGACAUGAUUAUUUUGGCGUGAUCGUUCGAUAAUCGAUUUGGUUUUUCUUGGAUGGGUUUGGUAUGGGAGGGGUACAAGUAUGGAUUUGGAUUGCUUUGCUAUUGAUAGCCUCUUAUGCGCAUGUUUCGCAUUCUUGUUUCGGUGCAAUGACCCCGUUAGAUGCUGACAUUCGGCGUUUUUGGAUGAUGGGUUUGCAAAGAUUUUUUUUUUUUUUUUGUGCCUGUUCAAGGGUUAAGUUGAUCUCUUAAAUCAGAAGUUUUUUUUUUUUUUUUUUUUUUUAAUGUUCUGGAAAUUGUGGAAUGAAGGGUCUUCAUUCUUUUAUGUCCUGGGGCUAUGUUUAUGGCGGGGGAGGAGCUGACGGUGUUUGUUUAAUUGAAUAAAAAUAAUGCAUUCACAUUGAGUAGAUUGGACAUCAAAAUAUUAAUUUUUCUAAUGAUCCAUGCAUGAAACGCCGGAAACCCACCGACGACGAGCACGUCCGAUUCACCGCGCGAGAAGGACUGUGUGAUUGGGCGCGGUCCCGCGCCCCCUCGCGAAACCCUAGGGCUCCUGUUUCGGGUGUCAAGGAGUUGGGUUUUUUUUUUUUUUAGUUCGGAUUCGAUUGGAAUGUGAUUCGUUGAGGUGGUUCUUCGUUUGCAAUGUGGCGUGCGGAUGUGGAUUUACUUUUGAGUAUUGUUCUUCUUUGGCACUUUAAUGCUGCUGGGACUAGGGAUUUUAUUACUUCAGGCGGUUUUGCAUGAGAAUAAGUGGCAUGCUUGCCGGGGAUUUUGAUUUGUGUGUGAAUUGAGUGUAUAAUUUGAUAAUUCUUUAUGGGAUAUCCGUUUUGGCUGAGUAGUAGGGAAAAGUAGUUAGAACGAUGGCUUCUUGAGUAGUUCUGGUUUUGUGUGAGGCGUUUUGUAGCUAGAUGGAAGCGGAUGAUUCCGUGGGAAUCGGAGACCGUUAGUGAUGUUUUCUCUCGUUGUGGCGAAUUCAAGAUCAGUUUUUUCAAUGAAAUUUAGAUGAAUUCCAUUAAUGGUAAUCGUGGGUACUGCUUAUGGAUUGCUGAACUUGGCUUUCUUUGAUGGAUGGUGAACUUCUCAUUCGAUUAUGCCCUAUAAGCAAUGGUCUGUGAUAGUAUUUUAUGUGAACGAUCAUUGCGUAGAAGAGAAGGGAAAGUAAGUUUAAGAGGGCAAUUGGAUUAGAGAUCUUCUUCUAUAUCAAUCUUGAUUUUUGCUAGUAACAAACAAUAUUGCUUGCGCCAUGCACGGGAUCUUACUCUAUUCACACUCUCUCGCAUAAAUUGACAUUGUGAUAGCAGAUAUUGUAACUUAUUAUCAUAGAUUGAAUUCAGAAACAUUUAAAAAAAAAAUUGCAGAAGUGAUGCUAUCUUUCAUAACAUAUUGCAAUUCUUGCUGCAGAAUCAACAUUCACUUUUCUAUUUGCUGUUUUGUCUUAAUCUCUUGCCUAUAUGUACUUGGGAUUUGACAUGAGUGCUUAAGAUUGCUAGUGAGACUUUAAUUUAUUAAUUUAAACAUGAGGACCUAUUAACUAAAGGUGAUAGAAUGGUGGGUUGUUUUCCCUGUCUGGAGUAAUUGGGUGCCUUGGUAUUUGGUGCACGAGUAAUUUAAAUUUAAUACGAAAUAUGUUGAUUGAAGUGCUAGAGGCACCUAUCUUUUCUUUUGUUGGGUUAAUUCGGUGAUUUGGAUUAAAACCAUCUUUCUGACCCCAAAAAAAAAAAAAAAAAAAAAAAA
This is an RNA transcript of Eucalyptus grandis, 3443 nucleotides long. It is a transcript of the gene named caffeic acid 3-O-methyltransferase-like, with no coding region annotated. The transcript is spliced from 2 exons. The record is from RefSeq and is a predicted model, not a curated record. Lineage: Eukaryota; Viridiplantae; Streptophyta; Magnoliopsida; Myrtales; Myrtaceae.